UACGUAGGGUGCAAGCGUUAAUCGGAAUUACUGGGCGUAAAGCGUGCGCAGGCGGUUUUGUAAGUCUGACGUGAAAGCCCCGGGCUCAACCUGGGAAUUGCGUUGGAGACUGCAAGGCUUGAAUCUGGCAGAGGGGUAGAAUUCCACGUGUAGCAGUGAAAUGCGUAGAGGUGUGGAGGAACACCGAUGGCGAAGGCAGCCCUGGGUCAAGAUUGACGC
Molecule: ribosomal RNA, 219 nt
Filed under: uncultured bacterium
Lineage: Bacteria
Description: partial 16S ribosomal RNA
Rfam family: Bacterial small subunit ribosomal RNA
Source: RNAcentral